GCCGAAGUGGUGGAAUGGCAGACGCUCCGGACUCAAAAUCCGGUGCCCGCGAGGGCGUGCGGGUUCAAGUCCCGCCUUCGGCA
RNAcentral lists this transfer RNA (83 nucleotides) under Oscillospiraceae bacterium. Its description in RNAcentral is "tRNA-Leu". It matches the Rfam family "tRNA". Rfam says of the family: Transfer RNA (tRNA) molecules are approximately 80 nucleotides in length. Their secondary structure includes four short double-helical elements and three loops (D, anti-codon, and T loops). Further hydrogen bonds mediate the characteristic L-shaped molecular structure. tRNAs have two regions of fundamental functional importance: the anti-codon, which is responsible for specific mRNA codon recognition, and the 3' end, to which the tRNAs corresponding amino acid is attached (by aminoacyl-tRNA synthetases). tRNAs cope with the degeneracy of the genetic code in two manners: having more than one tRNA (with a specific anti-codon) for a particular amino acid; and 'wobble' base-pairing, i.e. permitting non-standard base-pairing at the 3rd anti-codon position. The record is from RNAcentral. Lineage: Bacteria; Bacillati; Bacillota; Clostridia; Eubacteriales; Oscillospiraceae.